GCCAGACUCCUACGGGAGGCAGCAGUGGGGAAUAUUGCACAAUGGGGGAAACCCUGAUGCAGCGACGCCGCGUGAGUGAAGAAGUAUUUCGGUAUGUAAAGCUCUAUCAGCAGGAAAGAAAAUGACGGUACCUGACUAAGAAGCCCCGGCUAACUACGUGCCAGCAGCCGCGGUAAUACGUAGGGGGCAAGCGUUAUCCGGAUUUACUGGGUGUAAAGGGGGCGCAGACGGCAGCGCAAGCCAGGAGUGAAAGCCCGGGGCCCAACCCCGGGACUGCUCUUGGAACUGCGCGGCUGGAGUGCAGGAGGGGCAGGCGGAAUUCCUGGUGUAGCGGUGAAAUGCGUAGAUAUCAGGAGGAACACCGGUGGCGAAGGCGGCCUGCUGGACUGCGACUGACGUUGAGGCCCGAAAGCGUGGGGAGCAAACAGGAUUAGAUACCCCUGUACG
This 447-nucleotide ribosomal RNA is filed under the name uncultured bacterium. Its description in RNAcentral is "partial 16S ribosomal RNA". It matches the Rfam family "Bacterial small subunit ribosomal RNA", at positions 330 to 793 of the family's 1533-position model. The record is from RNAcentral.